RNAcentral lists this long non-coding RNA (385 nucleotides) under Mytilus galloprovincialis (Mediterranean mussel). Lineage: Eukaryota; Metazoa; Mollusca; Bivalvia; Mytilida; Mytilidae. The record is from RNAcentral.
AAAAGACAUUCACUGAGGGCAAGAACAUAAAGAAGGUGGAGGUAGUAAACAUGUUAAUCAGCUCUCAAUCCUGACCAUAACCUGGAAGAUUGGUGUAACAUGACAACAUAAUAACAAACAAUAAAGAUCCGUUUUAUAUAGAUGGACUCACAUAAUUGAGUCGUGAAGUUUUGUCAUCAUCAUCAAAAUCAAAAAUAGAUGAACAACCUUUAGUCCAGAAGAAGUUUAAUUAGUUUGAUAACCUGCAAUUUCUAAAAUAUAGGCAGGGUAUGUUGUUUUUGUUCACAUGAUAGUUGUUUAUAUACUUCGUUCUUUAUGUGAUGAGUCCAUCUAUAUCAAACUGAACUUUAUUGUUUGUUAUUAUGUUGUCAUGUUACACCAAUCU